Molecule: unclassified non-coding RNA, 161 nt
Filed under: Escherichia coli
Lineage: Bacteria; Pseudomonadati; Pseudomonadota; Gammaproteobacteria; Enterobacterales; Enterobacteriaceae
Description: IS009
Source: RNAcentral
UGAUAGAUUUUGCUGUGCCGGUGGUGGCGUGUCUGCUGGUCUGGCUGUUGGUUAAUCGUGGGUGAAAAAAGGUGAGCUGUAUAUGCAACGGAGGAAGAAACCCCGUUGCUGGAAGCCUGGAAAAAGUAUCGGGUGUUGCUGAACCGUGUUGAUACAUCAAC